GCGUCGGUAGUGCAAAUGGUUGAAGCACACGCUCCCGAAAAGGGUUAGAGAUGCGCGUUCAAUUCCCGCCUGACGUCA
This is a non-coding RNA of Parelaphostrongylus tenuis, 78 nucleotides long. Lineage: Eukaryota; Metazoa; Nematoda; Chromadorea; Rhabditida; Metastrongylidae. The record is from the annotation of a GenBank genome assembly.